GCGCGGCUGUGCCCGUGGCCUAUUUUUGGCACACGGAGGCCGCCCGCCAAGUCUGGUGCCAUUCCGAGUCCCGCGGACGAACUUCACCCACGCCCCCCACCAAGGCUAUAGCCCACCCAUUUUUUGGCCAUUUUUCCGCUGGGGGGUCUUGGGACCCCGAACUUCGGGGGCUGUUUUUUAGGCGCGGCUGUGCCCGUGGCCUAUUUUUGGCACACGGAGGCCGCCCGCCAAGUCUGGUGCCAUUCCGAGUCCCGCGGACGAAACUUCGCUCACGCCCCCCCACCAAGGCUAUAGCCCAACCGUUUUUUGGCCAUUUUUUCCGAUGGGGGGUCUUGGGCACCCCGACCUUCGGGGGCUGAUUUUUUGGGCGCGGCUCUGCCCGUGGCCUAUUUUUUGGCACACGGAAGCCGCCCGCAAAGUCUGGGGCCAUUCCGAGUCCGGCGGACGAACUUCGCCCACGCCCCCCACCAAGGCUAUAGCCCACCCGUUUUUUGGCCAUUUUUCCGCUGGGGGGUCUUGGCGCCCCGACCUUCGGGGGCUGAUUUUUGGGCGCGGCUCUGCCCGUGGCCUAUUUUUGGCACACGAAGGCCGCCCGCAAAGUCUGGGGCCAUUCCGAGUCCGGCGGACGAACUUCGCCCACGCCCCCCACCAAGGCUAUAGCCCACCCGUUUUUUGGCCAUUUUUCCGCUGGGGGGUGUUGGCACCCCGACCUUCGGGGGCUGAUUUUUGGGCGCGGCUGUGCCCGUGGCCUAUUUUUGGCACACGGAGGCCGCCCGCAACGUCUGGGGCCAUUCCGAGUCCGGCGGACGAACUUCGCCCACGCCCCCCACCAAGGCUAUAGCCCACCCGAUUUUUGGCCAUUUUUCC
This 867-nucleotide long non-coding RNA is filed under the name Citrus x clementina. RNAcentral describes it as "Citrus clementina (C. clementina) long non-coding RNA (CCLE_LNC005091)". The record is from RNAcentral. Lineage: Eukaryota; Viridiplantae; Streptophyta; Magnoliopsida; Sapindales; Rutaceae.